GGGGCCAUGGCUCAAUGGCAGAACAUCUGCGUUGCAUGGAGUAGGUCCCAGGUUCUAUUCCUGGCAUCUCCA
This 72-nucleotide transfer RNA is filed under the name Sphaerodactylus townsendi. Its description in RNAcentral is "tRNA-Ala". Lineage: Eukaryota; Metazoa; Chordata; Lepidosauria; Squamata; Sphaerodactylidae. The record is from RNAcentral.